RNAcentral lists this transfer-messenger RNA (355 nucleotides) under Parcubacteria group bacterium ADurb.Bin216. RNAcentral's name for it is "transfer-messenger RNA, SsrA". It matches the Rfam family "transfer-messenger RNA". From Rfam's summary of the family: Bacterial tmRNA, also known as 10Sa RNA or SsrA, is named for its dual tRNA and mRNA-like properties. Its role is to liberate the mRNA from a stalled ribosome. To accomplish this part of the tmRNA is used as a reading frame that ends in a translation stop signal. The record is from RNAcentral.
GGGGGUGACUUGAUUCGACAGGAAUUUGAAAAUGAUAAUGCAAGCCGAGUAUUCUCAAAUCUCGCUAAACUUUGGGGAAAACGAUAAGUGCAAACUUAUUCGAAAAAGAACCUGCAUUAGCAUACGCUUAAUGCUGUCCCCUCUGCAACGGCCCGCUUAGCGGCGUGGGGCAUAAUCCUUGCGGGAUUGGCUGAAUUCCUUGAUUCGAGGAAAGAAAGCUGAAAAAUAAACGAAUCCGGCACAUCUGAAAUCUGUCCAACCUCAUAAGAUGUGACGUAACAGAGAUUGGAACAAGCUUGUAGACUUAUCAUUUAAUACAAUUCUUGGACGCGAGUUCAUUACUCGCCACCUCCAC